Molecule: ribosomal RNA, 440 nt
Filed under: uncultured bacterium
Lineage: Bacteria
Description: partial 16S ribosomal RNA
Rfam family: Bacterial small subunit ribosomal RNA
Source: RNAcentral
CCUACGGGAGGCAGCAGUGGGGAAUAUUGCACAAUGGGGGAAACCCUGAUGCAGUGACGCCGCGUGAAGGAAGAAGUAUUUCGGUAUGUAAACUUCUAUCAGCGGGGAAGAAAAUGACGGUACUAGUCUACGAAGCCACGGAUAACUACGGCCCAGAAGCCGCGGUAAUACGUCGGGGGCAAGCGUUAUCUGGAUGUACUGGGGGUAAAGGGAGCGGAGGCGGCGAUGCAAGUCAGAAGUGAAAGCCCGGGGCUCAACUCCGGGACUGCUUUUGAAACUGUAUGGCUAGAGUGCAGGAGAGGCGAGUGGAAUUCCUAGUGUAGCGGUGAAAUGCGUAGAGAUUAGGAGGAAUACCAGUGGCGAAGGCGGCUUGCUGGACGGUAAAUGACGCUGAGGCUCGAAAGCGUGGGGAGCAAACAGGAUUAGAUACCCUAGUAGUC